AGCCGCCGCGGUAAUACGUAUGAGGCAAGCGUUAUUCGGAUUCACUGGGCGUAAAGAGCACGUAGGCGGGUAGAUAAGUCAGGCAUAAAAACCUAAAGCUCAACUUUGGUGAGUGUCUGAUACUGUCUAUCUUGAGUACAGAAGGGGGAAAUGGAAUUCCCGGUGUAGCGGUGAAAUGCGCAGAUAUCGGGAGGAAUACCAGUGGCGAAGGCGAUUUCCUGGUCUGAUACUGACGCUGAGGUGCGAAAGCCAGGGGAGCAAACGGGAUUAGAUACCCCGGUAGUCCUGGCCGUAAACGAUGAGUACUAGGUGUAGGAGAGUAUUUCUUCUGUGCCGAAGCUAACACAUUAAGUACUCCGCCUGGGGAGUAUAACCGCAAGGUUGAAACUCAAAGGAAUUGACGGGGGCCCGCACAAGCGGUGGAGCAUGUGGUUUAAUUCGAUGCAACGCGAAGAACCUUACCGAGGCUUGACAUUUAUCUGACAGCUCAGGAAACUGAGUCUUCCAUUCUUAGGAUGGACAGAUAAACAGGUGCUGCAUGGCUGUCGUCAGCUCGUGUCGUGAGGUGUUGGGUUAAGUCCCGCAACGAGCGCAACCCUUAUCCUUCGUUGCUACCAGGUAAAGAUGGGCACUCAAAGGAGACUGCCGGUGAUAAACCGGAGGAAGGUGGGGAUGACGUCAAGUCCUCAUGGCCUUGAUGCCUCGGGCUACACACGUGCUACAAUGGCCUGUACAAAGGGUUGCGAAGGAGUGAUCCGGAGCUAAUCCCCAAAGCAGGUCUCAGUUCGGAUUGAAGGCUGCAAUUCGCCUUCAUGAAGGUGGAAUCGCUAGUAACCGUGGAUCAGCAUGCCACGGUGAAUACGUUCCCGGGCCUUGCACACACCGCCCG
This 889-nucleotide ribosomal RNA is filed under the name uncultured bacterium. RNAcentral's name for it is "bacterial SSU rRNA". It matches the Rfam family "Bacterial small subunit ribosomal RNA", at positions 510 to 1396 of the family's 1533-position model. The record is from RNAcentral.